This 460-nucleotide ribosomal RNA is filed under the name uncultured bacterium. RNAcentral describes it as "partial 16S ribosomal RNA". It matches the Rfam family "Bacterial small subunit ribosomal RNA", at positions 338 to 795 of the family's 1533-position model. The record is from RNAcentral.
CCUACGGGUGGCAGCAGUGAGGAAUAUUGGUCAAUGGGCGCGAGCCUGAACCAGCCAAGUCGCGUGAGGGAGGACGGCCCUAUGGGUUGUAAACCUCUUUUGCCGGGGAGCAACGGGCGUCACGUGUGGCGCCACUGAGAGUACCCGGAGAAAAAGCAUCGGCUAACUCCGUGCCAGCAGCCGCGGUAAUACGGAGGAUGCGAGCGUUAUCCGGAUUUAUUGGGUUUAAAGGGAGCGUAGGCGGGGAUGCAAGUUGGAUGUUUAAACUAUCGGCUCAACCGGUAAUUGCAACCAAAACUGCAACUCUUGAGUGAAGUAGAGGCAGGCGGAAUUCCUAGUGUAGCGGUGAAAUGCGUAGAUAUUAGGAGGAACACCAGUGGCGAAGGCGGCCUGCUGGGCUUUAACUGACGCUGAGGCUCGAAAGCGUGGGGAGCAAACAGGAUUAGAUACCCUGGUAGUC